GAGUAGAUGGCUGAAUCGGUUAGGCGAACAGCAACUUAAAGGAUUGUCAAACGACUCUAUGAGGUAAGGCAAGUACGCUGUACACGCAGGUUCGAAUCCUGCUCUACUCA
This 110-nucleotide transfer RNA is filed under the name Carboxylicivirga sediminis. It matches the Rfam family "tRNA". From Rfam's summary of the family: Transfer RNA (tRNA) molecules are approximately 80 nucleotides in length. Their secondary structure includes four short double-helical elements and three loops (D, anti-codon, and T loops). Further hydrogen bonds mediate the characteristic L-shaped molecular structure. tRNAs have two regions of fundamental functional importance: the anti-codon, which is responsible for specific mRNA codon recognition, and the 3' end, to which the tRNAs corresponding amino acid is attached (by aminoacyl-tRNA synthetases). tRNAs cope with the degeneracy of the genetic code in two manners: having more than one tRNA (with a specific anti-codon) for a particular amino acid; and 'wobble' base-pairing, i.e. permitting non-standard base-pairing at the 3rd anti-codon position. Lineage: Bacteria; Pseudomonadati; Bacteroidota; Bacteroidia; Marinilabiliales; Marinilabiliaceae. The record is from Rfam by way of RNAcentral.